This 1936-nucleotide long non-coding RNA is filed under the name Homo sapiens (human). RNAcentral's name for it is "HSALNT0326224". Lineage: Eukaryota; Metazoa; Chordata; Mammalia; Primates; Hominidae. The record is from RNAcentral.
AGAGUAAGACUCUGUCUAAAAAAAAAAAAAAAAGGCAGGCAGCAUGUGAGUUUCCUGGAACUGAAAGAACCCAGUGUGGUUGAAGUGCUGAAAAACAAGAGGAUGGAACAAGAUGUGGCCAGAGAGGUAGGUGUCUGGUAGGCUGUGUGGGAGGCUAAUAGGGUCUUUGAAGGGUUUUGUCUUCAUUUUAUAAAUAGUAGACAGUCUCUGAUAGGUUUUAAGCAGGGAGUGGUGUAACAAAAUCAGCCCUCGAUUUUGAAAAAAAGAAAUUAAUUAUGGCUUCUGUGCAGAGAAUGGAUUUGAAGAGGCAUGGUGGUCAAUAGGGCUCCAGGGAGCUAAUCUAUGAGGUUAUUGUGGUAGUUCAGGUGAAAGAGGAUGAUAAUUUGGACCAAGGUUCCAGAGGUGGAAAUGGAGAAAAGUGGAUAAACUUGAGACACAGCUAGCAGGUAAAACAAGUGAUAUUACCUAUUAUGUAAGUUAUGAGAGCUGUCAAUUAUAUGAUUCUUCGGUUUCUGAUUUGCAUAAAAGAAUAUACAUUAGUGCCUUACCUGAAAUAGAAAAUAUUAGAAAAUGCUUAGUUUUAGGAAGGAAGGGUGAUGAAUUAAGAGUUCCCUACUGUAGAUGUUGAAUUUAUGGUAUCUUUAAGACAUCCAAACAACGUAGAUAUAUAGGAAUUUAGAUAUUCAUGUCUAAAUCUCAGUGGCGAAGUCUGUGCUAAAGAUUUAAAUCUGUUAUUUGUCUAUGGGGGAAUCACUGAAGCUAUGCAUGUGGAUGAGAUUCUUCAGUAGGAGAGUGCAGUGUGAGGCGAGGGGACAGAUCCAAAACUUGGGAAACUCCAGUGAUUAAUGUCCAAGCACUGGCAGGAGCCUACCAAAAAUAGAGGGCAACAGCCAGAAAUGUCGGAGCUAAACAAGAAUAUGAAGCCAAGGAAAGAACAUAUGUGCAGAAGGUCAACAUUGCUGAAGGCUGCCGAAAGGCCACAGAAGAUAAGGAAAAAAAAAAAAAGUCCAUUAGAUUUAGCAAUAUGGAUGUGAAUGGCUUGAAAUUCAGAUUUUCUUACAAGAAUCAGUGGAGAAAUGCAGCUCCUAAAUGUAGCUAUUAAUCCCUGCAUGGCAUUCUAGGCACUAGGACAUUAUGGUGGGAAAAAAAAAAGAAAGGAAGGAUGGAAGGAAGAAGGUGGAGGAGAGGAGAGGAAAGGAGAGGAAAAAAGAAAGAGAAAACAGAUGUUAAUCAAGUAAUUAUAAUAACGGAUUUAUAAUAAAGGGCUGAGACAAGUAUUCUGAAGAAAGGGAACAUGGUUUCAGGAGACCACAUACCAUAAAGACUCCAACUGGGAAGAUUAGGGAAGGAUUCAUAAGGAAAUUACACUUGAACCAAGAUGAGGAACUGAAUAGCAUGUCGGUGAGGGAGGGGGAUGAAAAUAGAGGGAGUGACACUGGGGGUGUAUUUAUGAAAGAGGGAACCUUGGUUUCUUUGCUCAUGUUGAGGCCCACCUAGAGAACCUGGACCUGAAGCCGAACUCCUCAGUCUAUUGAAUGAAACACAUUUUCUUGAUCUGGAUCUGACUAUUCAGGCAUCCCAAGAACCAAAAUGACCUCGUGAGCAAGUUAAUUGUCAAGGCAGGACUGGAGGCUCAGCUCACUCUUCCUCCUCUUAGCUUAUCAAGUAGAAGGUUUGAUAAGGAAAGGUGGCUCACGUAAGAAGCAAAAAUAAAGAUGUAAAAAAUUCCUAGGUUUCUUAUUCACAGUUGUUUUCCUUUCCUUCUAUUACCACCAUUUUAUCUGGUGAAACUUGGCCCGGAACUCUCCUGAACUUGGAGACCUAUCCUUCCGAGCUACAAAUGAAGACUUAGGAGUGUUCAUCAAAUAAGGAGUUGCAAGAAGAACACAGAAACCAGAUUUAUUGUAUACAUGAAAAAAUAAAAAGUACUACUCAA